GCCUGGCUGGCUCAGUUGGUAGAACAUGUGACUCUUGAUCUCGGGGUCAUGAGUUUGAGCCCCAUGUUGGGUG
Non-coding RNA from Ailuropoda melanoleuca (giant panda), 73 nucleotides. The record is from Rfam. Lineage: Eukaryota; Metazoa; Chordata; Mammalia; Carnivora; Ursidae.